UAAGUGGAGGAAAAGAAACUAACAAGGAUUCCCCUAGUAACGGCGAGUGAAGCGGGAAGAGCUCAAAUUUAAAAUCUGGCAGGCUACGCUUGUCCGAAUUGUAAUCUCGAGAAGUGUUUUCCGCGUUGGCCUGUGUACAAGUCCCUUGGAACAGGGCGUCAUAGAGGGUGAGAAUCCCGUCCUUGACACAGACACCCAAUGCUUUGUGAUACACUCUCAAUGAGUCGAGUUGUUUGGGAAUGCAGCUCAAAAUGGGUGGUAAAUUCCAUCUAAAGCUAAAUACUGGCGAGAGACCGAUAGCGAACAAGUACCGUGAGGGAAAGAUGAAAAGCACUUUGGAAAGAGAGUCAAACAGUACGUGAAAUUGUUGAAAGGGAAACGAUUGAAGUCAGUCGUGCCUGCCUAGAUUCAGCCUUCUGGUGUAUUUCUAGGUCGGCAGGUCAGCAUCAGUUUGGGGGGGUUAACAAGGGAGCUGGGAAUGUGGCAACCUCGGUUGUGUUAUAGCCCAGUUUCGCAUUGAUCUCGCUGGACUGAGGAACGCAGUGCGCCCGCAAGGGUUGGUCUUCGGACACAUUCGCACUUAGGAUGCUGGCAUAAUGGCUUUAAACGACCCGUCUUGAAACACG
This 626-nucleotide ribosomal RNA is filed under the name Cystofilobasidium infirmominiatum. Its description in RNAcentral is "eukaryotic LSU rRNA". It matches the Rfam family "Eukaryotic large subunit ribosomal RNA", at positions 47 to 663 of the family's 3401-position model. Lineage: Eukaryota; Fungi; Basidiomycota; Tremellomycetes; Cystofilobasidiales; Cystofilobasidiaceae. The record is from RNAcentral.